Otolemur garnettii (small-eared galago) is the source of this 106-nucleotide small nuclear RNA. The record is from Ensembl. Lineage: Eukaryota; Metazoa; Chordata; Mammalia; Primates; Galagidae.
GUGCUUGCUUUGGCCGCAUGUUUACUAAAAUUGGAAGGAGACAGAGAAGAUCAGCAUGGCCCUGUGCAAGGAUGAUAAGCAAAUCUGUGAAGCAUUCCAUAUUUUG